CACAGACGCAUUCCAAGACGAUACUUGAAGGAGAAACUGAGUUGAAUAAUUUGGUAGACUGUAGAUUGAGCACAUCUAAGGGAAAUAAAUACAUUGUCAUGACGAUUUAAAUGGAUGGAUGUGUUCUAGACAAGUAUACCCAUACUAUAUAUUGGCUGAUUUUGGCGAUCUGGAGUGCAGCGUAAUACACACCAGCAAGCGAUCGAUACACACUCAGCCGAGAGCAGCAGAUGACCACCGCUGUUCCUCUGCCAGGGUGUUCAGGUAAUCAGGAGGAGCCUGUCUGUCUGGAGACGACAGGUUAUUACUGGCUUUUUGAUUGCAGUAGGCCUACAAUCAGUGCCACACAAACAUUCAUUUUAGCAAUAUGAGAGCCUUUUCCUAAAAGGAACAUCGGAGAAAAUCAAAAAUGCAAGACGUGUGUCUGUGUGCUCAUGCAUGUACAUCCUUCUUUCUCACAUUCUCUGGUUGGCAGGUUCAGGGUCCUAUUUUAUUGGAUUAGAUCAACAGUCGUUAUCCUUUUGAUUCCAUGCAUGUGUUUAACUAUACUGGUAGUGAUGAUGUCACACCAUAAAUCAUUGAAUUCA
Molecule: long non-coding RNA, 587 nt
Filed under: Salmo salar (Atlantic salmon)
Lineage: Eukaryota; Metazoa; Chordata; Actinopteri; Salmoniformes; Salmonidae
Description: lncRNA (ENSSSAG00000081745.1)
Source: RNAcentral